RNAcentral lists this microRNA (21 nucleotides) under Glycine max (soybean). Its description in RNAcentral is "gma-miR172i-5p". Its record names the gene gma-miR172h-5p. The record is from miRBase by way of RNAcentral. Lineage: Eukaryota; Viridiplantae; Streptophyta; Magnoliopsida; Fabales; Fabaceae.
GCAGCAGCAUCAAGAUUCACA